UGGUGUGGGGUCCCCCGCACCCCCCUUUUAUUGUACUAACCCUGGCUUCGUCACUGUUACUGUCUGUUUGCUCCUAUAGAUUCAUAACACUGUAUACAUUAUGCCACAUUUUAUGCGCAAAAUAGUAAGAGAGAACGUAUGUGUCUUCCCACAGCAUAGCCUUGUCAAAUAUAUAGGUCACAUUGCAAAUAACCUGUUUUCAUCACUCCAGAUCAGUCAGUUUUGGCAAUGUGCAUGGAUGUUGAAUGACAAGAGAAAAAUAAAUGACACAAUAAGAGCGCAUAUGCGCAUAUAAAUAUUUUUUCCUUUAUAUUAUUAUUCUGGUAUAUGUGUAACAAAACAUCAUGCUGUGUUAAUGAAUAGGUGAUGACUGCAUGACAGUCUGUCACAGGGAGACAUGAAUACACGUGUGUUUGAGUUUGUGCUUAAAAUAUUAAUUAUCCAAAUGACUUAAAGCUAUGCAUUUCAUUCUAGGUGCAUGAAGUUUCUGUCAACAAUUCAACAACAGGACCGGUGACUUCCUGAAGUUCUAGUUGGUCCUCUGGAAACCUCAGUUACCACAAGGAGUGUUUCAUAAGACUGGUGGUCAAUGCCAGUGGUCAGUGUUUACCUCCUGGUAUUAAAAACUGCACAAUGACUUUGAGUAAUAUUAAUUUGUGUUAUUUCAGGCACCUAGCAAUCCCGCCAUCAAUAUAGCCAGAGAUGUUGUCAUCCGGUGUUUGAAGUUGUACCUUGGGGAAUAUGCUGAGCACCUCUUUAAAGAAUAUGAUGAUGCAGAUGAGGACAGUGUUGACAGGACCUUGCUGUACAAGGGAUGAAAAUCUACAGCAUCCAGACUAAUCCGUCAGAGGGUAGAGAGGACAUCGGAAUUGUGAUAGAAGGAACAAAGGUCCUGACUGGUCUGGGUAACUUUCCAAGGGCUUGUGCCAUGCUCAUGGGAUUGACGUGUGCAGUGGAUCUUGCCUAUCCCAAGGAACUCAGGUACACUUCUGAAGCCUUUCAGAAACUUUUCCUCGAGCUGGAUUGUUCAAAGCUUUCCCCAAAAGUGAACAGCCUCAAGAACAAACUGCUGGCUUAAAAAGGGACCCCUAAAUACGUUGGAGUGCUCCGUAAUUCUGUACUGCAGUUAAGUAUUCAAGUCUUAUUCAGAAAAAACACCUUAUCCAUACUCACUUGAAGCGUGUGAUGUUAUACUUUGGACUUAUAAUCGACACGACUCGAAGUAACUGUUUUUGUAGCUUGGUAUGGACAGUGAGAGUUGCACUAUGAAAACA
Long non-coding RNA from Scatophagus argus, 1274 nucleotides. RefSeq lists it as uncharacterized. Lineage: Eukaryota; Metazoa; Chordata; Actinopteri; Scatophagidae. The record is from RefSeq and is a predicted model, not a curated record. The transcript is spliced from 3 exons.